This 397-nucleotide ribosomal RNA is filed under the name uncultured bacterium. RNAcentral's name for it is "partial 16S ribosomal RNA". It matches the Rfam family "Bacterial small subunit ribosomal RNA", at positions 523 to 918 of the family's 1533-position model. The record is from RNAcentral.
AUACGUAGGUGACAAGCGUUAUCCGGAUUUACUGGGCGUAAAGGGCGUGUAGGCGGCCGAUUAAGUCUGGAGUGAAAGUCCUGCAUUCAAUGUGGGAAUUGCUUUGGAGACUGGUUGGCUUGAGUGCGGAAGAGGUAAGUGGAAUUCCUAGUGGAGCGGUAAAAUGCGCAGAUAUUAGGAAGAACACCGGUGGCGAAGGCGGCUAUCUGGACAGUAACUGACGCUGAGGCGCGAAAGCGUGGGGAGCAAACAGGAUUAGAUACCCUGGUAGUCCACACUGUAAACGAUGAAUGCUAGGUGUAGGGGGUAUCGACCCCUUCUGUGCCGCAGUCAACACAAUAAGCAUUCCGCCUGGGGAGUACGGCCGCAAGGUUGAAACUCAAAUGAAUUGACGGGG